AUAUCAAAAACUAAUUUGUGUUUCUGCCGAAAUUUAGAAAAAGCUGGCAAUAGUGAUGCCAUUUUCUGGACCUUAAAGAUAACUGAGAUCAUUAAGGUCCCUAAAAAUGGCUACAAUA
This 118-nucleotide small nucleolar RNA is filed under the name Jaculus jaculus (lesser Egyptian jerboa). RNAcentral describes it as "Small nucleolar RNA SNORA33 (ENSJJAG00000000731.1)". It matches the Rfam family "Small nucleolar RNA SNORA33". Rfam says of the family: ACA33 is a member of the H/ACA class of snoRNA that guide the sites of modification of uridines to pseudouridines. The record is from Rfam by way of RNAcentral. Lineage: Eukaryota; Metazoa; Chordata; Mammalia; Rodentia; Dipodidae.